GGCGGUUGUGACCGUUGUGGCCGCUGGGCGGUCCCAACGUCCCCGGGGGCGUCCGAGCAGCGCUUGUGAGCGAGCGGCCCUUGUACCCUGCCAGAGCCCUGGCCGUGGGCUUUGGGUGUGUAAAUGGAAACGCCGGGGCGGCCUCGCUUUCCCCACCUCAUCGGUGUUUUCCGAGGGACGUCCGAGCCACGAGGCUGCAAAAGAGGAAGGAAGGGGAGAAAGGCGGGGAAGUGGACACCCGUGACCAGCGCUCUGCUGUGAUGCAGAGGAUUUCUCUCAGUGUUACUGGGGAAGAGAAGUGUUUUCAAAGUGCUGAAGAAAGAAACUUGUCCCUCCUGGUUCUCCGCUUGUCCUGCACUUUUCUCAAUAGGUUAUUGAUCCUGGAAGUGAAAAGUGACCUUCAAAUGCCAAGUUUCAGCACUGGGGCCCUGAUCCAAAAUCUGCUGGGGGAAAAGGAGAUUUGAACGCUUGUUCCCAAUAGGGUUUUGAGAACCUCCAGAGGAAAACUGUGGACAACAAAUGCCUGCUAAUUAAAACCAAAAAAUUAUC
Calypte anna (Anna's hummingbird) is the source of this 549-nucleotide long non-coding RNA. RefSeq lists it as uncharacterized. The transcript has 3 exons. The record is from RefSeq and is a predicted model, not a curated record. NCBI's taxonomy places the organism in Eukaryota, Metazoa, Chordata, Aves, Apodiformes, Trochilidae.